AAUGCAAGCAGCUUGUUAGCUCCACGUGUUUUAUAGGUGUCCACCCAAGCAGAAGGUCACAGCAGGCACUGCACUUAGGAGUAUUUUAGUUAUGCAGGUAACGCAAUUAACGUAGCAAUAAUUCAGGCAGGAGGGUUAACCAACUAAAUAUACAUAGCCUGGAAUAGCACAUUACUGGGAAACAGGAUGUUUAUGUGAAAAUAAGGAAAGCAUUCAGAUCCUGGCAUUUACUGUACAGUAUCAACUGGGGGGUGACAUGAGCAAGCCAUCAACAAUUAGAUGCUGUCAUCGGGAAUGUGAAUCACUUCAGAAAGGGGUGAUAUGCUCCUGUGGGGCUGCAGUGAAUGGCCACGCUGCUAAGGAGUGAUGUGCAGAAGGUUGGAGGGACCUCAGAGCAGGUCUCAGAGGCAGGAACUCUUCCUUGGAUGACUGAGAGCCAGCCCUGGCAGGGAAUGCUAUUCAUGUCAGACAGAAGCAGAUCAGGAGGAUUUUGCCGGCACUGACGCAAGGGCAAGCAAAUUUGGAACUAUUAUUUUUGAGAAGUACUCCUGUGGAAGAAGCACUUUCCUGCCCCACCCAAGUGCUGUCCAGCUGAACACUAUAUUUAGUAAAUUGAGAUUAUCUGUCCAGGGAAGAAAAACAGAUUCUGACUCUUAUUGUUUCAAAUUCAAAAAAGCAUAGAAAGUAAAGAUGGAAGUCGUUGGCACUAAGAUGCUACUGUACGAGCAAAAAAAACCCAGCAGAGCAGCAUUUGUCUUGCUGCAGCUGCCCUCCACCUCUCCAAACAGAUUCCAAUAUCCAGAAGGAGUACUAACACUUUUCAGCCUCACAGCUCUCUCUGCCAGGAAGCUUUUCCAAACAUCUAGUUGAAACGUUCCUUUUUUCCUCUCUUUGAUUAAGGAUAGUUCCACUCCCUCUCUAGCAUUUAGACUCUUAAAAUGGCUGCAGAUUGCUUGAAUUCCAGCCCUCCCUGUCUUGAAAAUCUUCCCAAGAGCUGAACAGCUUGCACUGAUUUUCCCCGAACUUCCAGUUCAUCAACUUUUUUUUCUGGUAAUGAGGUCCUUGGAGGUGGAAGGCAGCGUUCCAGCUGCAGCUGCAACAAGCAGGCAGAUGAAAGCCAUCGCAGCCCCGGGACGCGGUGCCUCCGCAGAGGCCCCAGCAGAUUUUCUGCUGUCGCAGCAUUUCGUCAGCGCGUGUCCACUUGGUGAUCUCCUGUGAGCUGUGGGGUGUGUCACCGCUCCUGCUCCCUCAGUCUGCCCCUCUUACUGCUCGUUGCCUGCAACUAAGAACUAAAAACCUCGGCUGUGUUUUUCUAACAGAUUGCUGAUGAAGGUAAAGGCUGAGAAGGACACGUGCUCUUCUCAUCUAUGGAACUUGACGGUGCUCCGGUCAGUCUUCAGUCCACGUGAUCAUCAGCCUAAGCUCCAUUUCAGAUCUCAGCUAUAUUGGUAAAGCAAGUCAAACCUAGAAUUAUUAAGUCUGGAAGAAUUAUGGCCCAAGAAAAAUGCAAGACAGAGCUUACAAUGGUUCAUCCUUAAAAGAUGCUCGCUCCAUUCAGUAGUUUUACUGCAAUAUAUAUCCUGUACAGCAGUCAAGAAAACAGACAAAUUGAUUUGCUAUAAACUUAUACUGCUGUGGCUCUUGGGACUCUCAUUUUCUGACACUGGAUUCUGCCACACUCAUUCUCAUCUACACUUCAAGGACCAUGAAAACAGCUCAUAGGACUGAUAAGCCUACAGAAUUCACACUGAUAGCAGAGAAAGAUUCCACGCGAUGUGGCACAGUAAUUGUGCAGCACUGGGUUGUGCAACACUGGAAGGGACGCCUACUUCUCUAGGAUAAAAACACAACUUCAAGGAAAUAAUGUGGCUGUGGGAAAGACCUGCACAAACAGGGGAAACUGACUAACCGGGAAGCAGCAAAGGAGAUGAGACGCAACGUGCUGUCAAGCACAUUCACUCAGUAAAGGAGGAAAAAGAAAAUGUUUUUCCUGAUCUACUUUAAAAUCAGAUUAUAUUUUUGUUUGCAACUAUAACCAGUAGAAAAUUUUCAGGUGGAAAUCAAUAGAAAUGUGUGACCUACACUUCAUAAACACCAAGAUGUAUAGAGGAAAUAAAGCAGGAUCAGAAGUAAUCCAUCAGGGAUGAACUUCAGGUCGCUCAGAAGUUUUGCUUCCUAAAGCAAACAGAUGUCUCUGAAUAUGUUACCAAAUUCCUUACAUCUGCUUGUCCACGCUGAACGUGGUUCAAACACAGCCUCCCCAGGCUCUCUGCUGACAUAUCCCAGUCCCCUCCAGAAAGAAAUGCCAAAAGGAAUAUGGAAACGGAAUGCAGGAACUUCUGAACUGGAAACUCAGAGCUACAUCCUUCUGAGAGUACGCGUACGCACCUCUAUCCAACACAGAAGCACCGAUUUCCACCAGCAGAAGAUGCAGCCAUUCUCAUUUUUGUAAAGGCUUAACUGUUUUUUUCUUUUAAGCAAGCCUCUGCCUACACCCAGAACUGGGGACAGCAGGAAAAACACCUUUAAAGGACAUUCAGGUCACGUUAGGUACUGUCACCUGGCUUAGAUCAACAAAGACAGAAAUUUCUGUCACUAGUACAAGAUGUCAGAUGUAGCGUGCAUGAAUGGCUGCGCUUCACGACACACAGGGAAAAGGCAUCUACUUCCCAAAAGCUGCAGCAUGUCAGAAGAAGCUGCCAACACCUGAAGGAACACAGGCUUGUGCUGUGCUGUGUCAAACAAACAGUGCAUUUCAAAAUCAAAAUCUUUAAGAGCCUCGACAGCUUGCAGCUCCCUGAAUGCAAGAAGAUGAGAGUUCAUGGACUUGAACAGAGACAAGAGGGUAAGAAAUUGUAUUUAGCCUAUGGUGAGCAGAAAAUUCUGAAAGGAAAUUAACUAAAUAGUACAUUUUGUACAAAGUUAAAAAUGCUAGUGUGCAGAGAAACACCAGACUUGGUGACAAAAGAAAGUAGAAUCAUCUAGGUUGGAAAAGACCUUCAAGAUUACCAAGUCCACCAACCUGACCACCGAAUCCCAUCACUAAAGCACGUCCCUCAGUGCUAUGUCCACGUUGCUUAAAUACCUGCAGGGAUGGUGACUCCACCUGCUCCCCAGGCAGCCAGCUCCAAUGGUUGGCCACCCUCUCUGGGAAGAAAUCCCUCUUGAUAUUCAGUCUAAACCUCCCCUUGUGCCAUUUGAAGACAUUGCCUUGCAUCCUUACCACUUGUCACCUGAGAACAGAGACCAACACCUCCUCACUGCAGCCUCCCAUCAGGUAGGUGUAGGGAGCAAUGAGACCCGCUUCCCUCAGGCACACCUCAGAGGCCUUCCUUUCCAGCCCCUUCACCAGCUUCACUGCUCUUCUCUGUACACACCUGUACACAACUCAAUACCUUUAUUGUAGCGAGGGGACCAAAAUCGAAAGCAGUAUUUGAGGCACGGUCUCACUACAUACAGUGGGAAAACCAUUUCCUGCUGUUACUUGUCGUCUAUUGGCAGCAUUAUGCUUUUGUGAAUGGCGAUGGCCCCUGACAACUUCUAAACUCAGUGUGAGCUGCUGUUGCCCAAGGGAUUCCUCUCUAGGAGCUCCUGUCCCACACACAAACUGCCAGCAUGUCACCCCUGGCACCUGCGCCAUCCUUAUGCCAUAGAACACAACGCACCUCUGCUCUGAAAAGCUGGAGCUCUGCCGUUCCACGUGUUCCUCCUCCACUCCAGCCCAUACACAGAACUAACCUGACAGGCCCCAGCAGCCAGCAACCAACUGGGUGGAACAGAAACAGAGGAAGAAACGCUCUGGGAUUGGUUUGAUUUUGUUAUUCCAGGGCACCAAUCCCCUCCAGACAGUCAGAGGGGCCCAGGCAAGCUCUGCCUUCUGUACAGACCCAGCUGGGCAGGAGAUGAGGAGCACACAUUAGACAUGCAGCACUGAGGCCAAAUUGGACAGAACACACUGAAUUUAUAAAUGUUCACAGCUGGGCAGUGCUUGCAUGCGUUCAUCCAAAGCAAGCGACAUGCUAAGAGCAGUCCACCAGCAUG
This is a long non-coding RNA of Numida meleagris (helmeted guineafowl), 4041 nucleotides long. RefSeq lists it as uncharacterized. Lineage: Eukaryota; Metazoa; Chordata; Aves; Galliformes; Numididae. The transcript is spliced from 3 exons. The record is from RefSeq and is a predicted model, not a curated record.